Gossypium raimondii (Peruvian cotton) is the source of this 530-nucleotide long non-coding RNA. RefSeq lists it as uncharacterized. The record is from RefSeq and is a predicted model, not a curated record. Lineage: Eukaryota; Viridiplantae; Streptophyta; Magnoliopsida; Malvales; Malvaceae. The transcript is spliced from 2 exons.
AUCACUUCAGCCACCGAAGAAAGAAAAAAAAAUUGAAAUAAAAAAAAACUCCCUCUUCCUCUCAAAAGUCCGGCCUUUGGGUCAUAUUAGCGCCGCCGUUGCGUCACGCCGGCCACCGUACAUGGUGGCCGAAAAAAUCAAAAAGGUGGAGCAGGUGGCACAGGCGGCGACGUGACCGCGACGGUGGGCAGGUGCGAGGCAGAGCAAGUGGGCGACCCUAGGUGCGGCGCACCUAGGGUUAGGGUUACCCCUUUUUUGUUAUUUUCUGAUUUGGGCUGAUUGAGUCUAUUGGGCUGUUUUGGGCUAGGUGAUUUUUGUUGGGCUUGGGUAAAUUUAGGUUGUAAUUGGGUUUUGCUGGUGUGGGCAAAAUUGGGCUGGUACAUAAUGUAUGUUUUUUUUUAUUUACAAAAUAUUAUUGUAUGUUAUUGUAAUAUUUGAGGAAUUUUUUUUUAGAAUUGUAUCGAUAACCACCAAAGUUAUUGUGAGAAAGAUCAAUAACACUCAAAUGAGUGAAGAAAACUUCAAAGAUA